ACGGAAGGCAGCAGUAGGGAAUCUUCCACAAUGGACGCAAGUCUGAUGGAGCAACGCCGCGUGAGUGAAGAAGGUCUUCGGAUCGUAAAACUCUGUUGUUAGAGAAGAACACGAGUGAGAGUAACUGUUCAUUCGAUGACGGUAUCUAACCAGCAAGUCACGGCUAACUACGUGCCAGCAGCCGCGGUAAUACGUAGGUGGCAAGCGUUGUCCGGAUUUAUUGGGCGUAAAGGGAACGCAGGCGGUCUUUUAAGUCUGAUGUGAAAGCCUUCGGCUUAACCGGAGUAGUGCAUUGGAAACUGGAAGACUUGAGUGCAGAAGAGGAGAGUGGAACUCCAUGUGUAGCGGUGAAAUGCGUAGAUAUAUGGAAGAACACCAGUGGCGAAAGCGGCUCUCUGGUCUGUAACUGACGCUGAGGUUCGAAAGCGUGGGUAGCAAACAGGAUUAGAUACCCUGGUA
This 459-nucleotide ribosomal RNA is filed under the name uncultured Lactobacillus sp. RNAcentral's name for it is "bacterial SSU rRNA". It matches the Rfam family "Bacterial small subunit ribosomal RNA", at positions 341 to 792 of the family's 1533-position model. Lineage: Bacteria; Bacillati; Bacillota; Bacilli; Lactobacillales; Lactobacillaceae. The record is from RNAcentral.